UGCCAGCCGCCGCGGUAAGACGGAGGGGGCUAGCGUUGUUCAGAAUUACUGGGCGUAAAGCGCGCGUAGGCGGCCUGUCGAGUCGGGCGUGAAAUCCCGAGGCUCAACCUCGGAACUGCCCUCAAUACUGCCAGUCUAGAGUUCGAGAGAGGUGAGUGGAAUUCCUAGUGUAGAGGUGAAAUUCGUAGAUAUUAGGAAGAACACCAGUGGCGAAGGCGGCUCACUGGCUCGAUACUGACGCUGAGGCGCGAAAGCGUGGGGAGCAAACAGGAUUAGAUA
Molecule: ribosomal RNA, 279 nt
Filed under: uncultured bacterium
Lineage: Bacteria
Description: partial 16S ribosomal RNA
Rfam family: Bacterial small subunit ribosomal RNA
Source: RNAcentral